CGUUAUUUUAUUCUAGAAAACAAAAUAAUAAUUAUUUUAUCAUGUAAAUUAAUUAUAUUGGAAUAAUUAUCAUUGUAUUUUUAUAGUUUGAUCAAAUUAAUUAAAAGGAGCAUAUAGUUUUAAAAUUACAUAAAAUUAUCCUAAUGGAUUUAUUCCUUAAUUGCAUUGGACCUCUAUUUUAUUUUGUGUUUUUUAUCUUAGUCUUUAGGUUCAUAAUUUCUUAUAUCCAAAUUACUUUAUUAUUGUUGGAUUUUCAAUUGAAAAAAUAAAAAAAUAAAAUUUUCACCAACAUGGAUCACGUUUAAAUGAAAAAAACAAUAAUAUUAAGGAGAAAUAAAUACAUUUUAUUUUCUUUGCAGCAAAAAUGCGAGAUCAUUCGUCUUGGUUGGAUUAUAACAAAUCACAAACCGUCUAAGUGAUCGCUCUCUGACAAUGUCCACAUAGAAUAGCGAUUGAAAAACCUUAGAACUGUUCUAAAGGUUUGAGAAGGGGAAAGGUUUUAAGAGGUAGCUCUCUUUUUUUUUCUACAAAUUCUGAAAACCCUAAAAAAUGUUUCUCUAUUGGGAGCUCACAGCCCUUUUUUACUGAAACCCUAGGGUUUAGGUUUCAGUAUAACAACCUUUUAUUUAUUUAUUUAACUAAUUAAAUAAAUAAAUUACAACUAUGAUCCAAAACGUUAAUAAACAGGCUAUAUAAAUUUUUAGACAAUUUUAAAUUAAAUCUCUACUUAAUUAAUUAGAUCAAAAUCAUAAUUUUUUUAAAUUAUAAUUUUAUCCCAAUAUUAAUUUAUAUGCAAUAAAGUCCUACUUGAUUUAACCUCUCGUUUUAUUUUCUCAUACAAUUCUUUGUGUGAUGAGAUUCGAAAUAUAUUGGCAACAAAUAUAAUUAAUUAAUUUGAAGAUCAAUAACAUUAUCUAUCAACAUGUUAAGACUAUCCAAAUAUUCGGAAUGUCAAAAAUAGUUCUUUUUAGUGCAUGGUUUGUCGGUAUAAUUAAUAUUUAUUCAUCACAAAUGUGUCUGUAAUGUUAAAUAACAAUACAUUUUCUUUCUUGAUAAUAAUUUGUGGGCUAAGCAUGAAAGUAAACUUUACAUUUAGAUGUGAUGUUCAUAUAGAAAUAUAGUCGCUUA
RNAcentral lists this long non-coding RNA (1128 nucleotides) under Manihot esculenta (cassava). Its description in RNAcentral is "long non-coding RNA (MESC_LNC009271)". Lineage: Eukaryota; Viridiplantae; Streptophyta; Magnoliopsida; Malpighiales; Euphorbiaceae. The record is from RNAcentral.